AACGAACGCUGGCGGCAUGCCUAACACAUGCAAGUCGAACGAGACCUUCGGGUCUAGUGGCGCACGGGUGCGUAACGCGUGGGAACCUGCCUUUAGGUUCGGAAUAACUCAGAGAAAUUUGAGCUAAUACCGGAUGAUGUCUUCGGACCAAAGAUUUAUCGCCUUUAGAUGGGCCCGCGUUGGAUUAGCUAGUUGGUGGGGUAAAGGCCUACCAAGGCGACGAUCCAUAGCUGGUCUGAGAGGAUGAUCAGCCACACUGGGACUGAGACACGGCCCAGACUCCUACGGGAGGCAGCAGUGGGGAAUAUUGGACAAUGGGGGAAGGCCUGAUCCAGCAAUGCCGCGUGAGUGAUGAAGGCCUUAGGGUUGUAAAGCUCUUUUACCCGAGAUGAUAAUGACAGUAUCGGGAGAAUAAGCUCCGGCUAACUCCGUG
Molecule: ribosomal RNA, 433 nt
Filed under: uncultured bacterium
Lineage: Bacteria
Description: partial 16S ribosomal RNA
Rfam family: Bacterial small subunit ribosomal RNA
Source: RNAcentral